UUACGGCUAAAUCACGUUGAAACGCCGGCUCCCGUACGAUCAGCGGAGUUAAGCAACGUCGAGCCUGGCCAGUACCUACAUGGGUGACAGCUUAGGAAUACCAUGUGCUGUAAU
Non-coding RNA from Acanthosepion pharaonis, 114 nucleotides. NCBI's taxonomy places the organism in Eukaryota, Metazoa, Mollusca, Cephalopoda, Sepiida, Sepiidae. The record is from the annotation of a GenBank genome assembly.